CUCCAGCUGGUGAGUCCCAAUUAGGACGAAACGCGCAUCCUGGAU
This is a non-coding RNA of Schistosoma mattheei, 45 nucleotides long. Lineage: Eukaryota; Metazoa; Platyhelminthes; Trematoda; Strigeidida; Schistosomatidae. The record is from Rfam.